RNAcentral lists this long non-coding RNA (523 nucleotides) under Ananas comosus (pineapple). RNAcentral's name for it is "long non-coding RNA (ACOM_LNC021216)". Lineage: Eukaryota; Viridiplantae; Streptophyta; Magnoliopsida; Poales; Bromeliaceae. The record is from RNAcentral.
GAGGAGUUGAAUUGAGGCGUGAAUUGAGUUUCACGGACGAAACUCUUUUUAAGGAGUGGAGAAUGUAAUAUACCAGAUUUUGGUAUAAAAAUAAAGAUAAAUAAAAGUAGUGUGAGAUACUAUUUUUAUUGGGCUUCGGAAAGCAAAAUAUAUGUCUAGAGUGACUUGUGCUGAAAUCGGAAUGAAAACAGAAGAUUUAUAAUUUUCUGUUGGAAACAGGGCAGAUAAAAUUAGCAGGAAAUGCACAGGGUCAGAAAAUUAUGAAAAUUGGCGGAAGAUGUCAGAAAUAUUUUUAUGAGGCUAGAUUUAAGGUUUCAUAUUUUUCUGACACCCAUAGAGUGAGAAAUAAAAUCCGAAAGCUAUCUGAUAAAGAUUGCAGUCCGGUAUAGUUUUCGAUGACCAAACGUGGUCGAAACUGAAAGAUUAAAAUUUCUUCGGACUUAUUAAGAAAAAUCGAGCCUGCCUGCCAAAUUUGAACGCAAACGGAUGUUCAGAAGGGCUCCGGCAAAAAAAAGUUAGUUUU